UACAGAGGGGGCAAGCGUUGUUCGGAAUUACUGGGCGUAAAGGGCGCGUAGGCGGCCUUCUAAGUCGAACGUGAAAUCCCCGGGCUCAACCCGGGAACUGCGUCCGAUACUGGAAGGCUUGAAUCCGGGAGAGGGAUGUGGAAUUCCAGGUGUAGCGGUGAAAUGCGUAGAUAUCUGGAGGAACACCGGUGGCGAAGGCGACAUCCUGGACCGGUAUUGACGCUGAGGAGCGAAAGCGUGGGGAGCGAACAGG
This 253-nucleotide ribosomal RNA is filed under the name uncultured bacterium. Its description in RNAcentral is "partial 16S ribosomal RNA". It matches the Rfam family "Bacterial small subunit ribosomal RNA", at positions 524 to 776 of the family's 1533-position model. The record is from RNAcentral.